Long non-coding RNA from Papaver somniferum (opium poppy), 759 nucleotides. RefSeq lists it as uncharacterized. NCBI's taxonomy places the organism in Eukaryota, Viridiplantae, Streptophyta, Magnoliopsida, Ranunculales, Papaveraceae. The record is from RefSeq and is a predicted model, not a curated record. The transcript is spliced from 2 exons.
AAACAGAAAAUUUCAGGAUCCGUAUCUUCCUCUGCAACACAUAACCCUAGCUGCACCUCCACCUAAUUCUUUCUUCUUCUGUUUCUCCAUCCUUUCUAUCUGGGGAGUACUCUAUUUGAGAAGCGAUAUCUACAACUGAUAACAUCAUGAGCCUCACCUUUUUUACAAAUCCCAAUUGGGAGGAGAUUUAGGUACUGAUUCUCUAAUCAUAUGGAAUAAUCAGUGAAUUAGGGUUUUAUGAGAACCAAUAAUGGUGAAGGAAUUGAGUUUGAGUCCAAGAGAAAAGUUACUAAUAAUGAUGGAGUCGAUGGUGGUGUUCAUUAAAGAACGGAAAAACAGUAAAGAGAUAGAGUUAGGGUUUUGUUUUGAGAUGAAGGAAUCAAGAGCGGUUUUGAGAUCCAGGGAUGAGGAUAAAGCUUAAGAAAGGGAUGUUGAUGAUUGUACUGAUUGUUUUAGUUGACUCAAACUCAUUGGGAAGCUUUGGAUGACAAUGGAGCCUCCCACAUAAACCUCUGUAGAAGUCUCAUGCUAAUUGUGCAAGCUUGAUGUCAAGACACAAUACUUAUGCAAAAUCAAAUUGGCAAUAUCUUCUUUUCAAAAAUAAUUGAUUGGUUUGUUGAUAGUAUAAAAGUUGACAUUAAUGUUCAUGGUUUCUAAAGGAAGCUUGAAUAUUAAAUUUUCAUGAACAUGCUCUCAUAUAGCAGUAGAUAAUGUCAAUGUUGGGUGAAGCAUAACUAAACAAUUUUUAUAUGUUUACAA